CCUUUGUACACACCGCCCGUCGCUACUACCGAUUGAAUGGCUCAGUGAGGCUUUCGGACUGAUCUAGGGCGGGGUUCAUUCGCCGCCUCUGGUCGGAAAGUUAUCCAAACUCGGUCAUUUAGAGG
This 125-nucleotide ribosomal RNA is filed under the name Colletotrichum gloeosporioides. RNAcentral's name for it is "partial small subunit ribosomal RNA". It matches the Rfam family "Eukaryotic small subunit ribosomal RNA", at positions 1657 to 1779 of the family's 1831-position model. The record is from RNAcentral. Lineage: Eukaryota; Fungi; Ascomycota; Sordariomycetes; Glomerellales; Glomerellaceae.